This 158-nucleotide non-coding RNA is filed under the name Lepisosteus oculatus (spotted gar). Lineage: Eukaryota; Metazoa; Chordata; Actinopteri; Semionotiformes; Lepisosteidae. The record is from Rfam by way of RNAcentral.
GUUGCUGUAAUAGUAAGCCAGCUCAGAACAAGAGAAACCACAGGUUCGGACAUGUGGUGUCUGUGCUUGGCGGAGAAGCCAAAGGUGUGAAGCAGCCAUCUGUGGGAUUGACUGAACUCCGCUUAGUCAGAGGCUCCCUAAGGUCCUCAAACAGGGAU